CCGUGCUAGAUGGGGAGUUAGCGGUGCCCUGUAACCUGCAAUCCGCUAUAGCAGGAUCGAAGUCCUCAGGGAGGCCUUAACUUGUUUGGUCUGCCCUAUGCAAGUGGUGUUGAUGGCUGGGUCCCACGCAAUGGAAGCCCAUGAACCUUGUCAGGUCCGGAAGGAAGCAGCAAUAAGUGGUGUCUUUCCGUGUGCCGUGGAUAAAUCUGGCCUGAGCUAACUACAUAGGUAACGCUUAUAAGUUAUUGUCGAAGUGAGGUGCACGG
This 266-nucleotide signal recognition particle RNA is filed under the name Clostridium thermobutyricum. RNAcentral's name for it is "signal recognition particle sRNA large type". It matches the Rfam family "Bacterial large signal recognition particle RNA". Rfam says of the family: The signal recognition particle (SRP) is a universally conserved ribonucleoprotein involved in the co-translational targeting of proteins to membranes. Archaeal SRP consists of a 7S RNA and homologues of the eukaryotic SRP19 and SRP54 proteins. In most bacteria, the SRP consists of a 4.5S RNA and the Ffh protein (a homologue of the eukaryotic SRP54 protein). The record is from RNAcentral. Lineage: Bacteria; Bacillati; Bacillota; Clostridia; Eubacteriales; Clostridiaceae. RNAcentral also lists the same sequence under 1 other name.